Molecule: RNA transcript, 3701 nt
Organism: Bombus huntii
Lineage: Eukaryota; Metazoa; Arthropoda; Insecta; Hymenoptera; Apidae
Exons: 11
Source: RefSeq, a predicted model, not a curated record
AAACGUGAUUCAAGUUUUCGAGUAUUGAUUAUUUCUAGGAAAUAUCGAUCGGUCGCGUGAAUCUCCUUUUUGUUUUUCACGAUCGUUGAAGAUUUAUUUUUGAAUUAUUUUUUGAGAAGAAAAACAAAAGUUUGCGAGUAACAUCCUACUUUAAAUUUGGCUCCAGCCUUGGAAUAUCGACUAUUUCUACUGAAUAUCGAUUAUUCAUGAGUAUUCCCUUGUAUCUUGUGCUUUAUAUAUCAGAGGAUAUUUUGAAAUUAUCUUUAAGAAGGAGAACAGGAGACUACGAGUAUUAUCCUGCUUCGAAAUUAAUUUAAACUUUGGGAUAUUGAUUGUUUCUACUAAAUGUUCAUUGACUACGUGUAUUUUUUUACUUGGUAAUGGAACGAUCAUAGGAAACAUCUUUGAACUAUUUCCUAAAGAAGGAACGUCAGAGUAUAAAACUAAUAACUUGCUUGAAGUUUGAUUCAAGCCUUUGGAAUGGCUUAGAUCGAAUUAUUCGUUGAAACGUCCUGAACUUAUCGGUAAAGCUCCUUCGCGUUCUGAAGUCCGACGAAACAUUUCGUCGAUCUGAGACAGAAAAGAGAUACUGGUUUAUUCAAUUAAAGAUAAGUAACUGUCGUUUUUCAGCAAUGGAUUGCAGCGAGGAAGAGUUGACGAAAAUCAAUGUCUUCCGAUUAAACAUUCUCAUUCCACUGAUGGAGAUCUUGGACGUGUACGCGUCGUUUAAAGAAGAAUUAAGUCCAGAUGAGUUUUGCAUUCGUUUGUUUGUUAACGAAGGCUCGAGAGAAAAAUGCAAACCACAUCACGAUCCUGUUAUGGAACGUUUCAAGAAUAUCGAAGAAUUUAAGGCUUUGUCAGUUUCGUUGCAAAAUGUAAUCAUCGAUUUAUUCAUGAAUAUCGUUCGUUACACGGUUUUCUUGGACUCAAUAAGUAAAGAUUAUCUGGAUAAACAGAACUGUCGCAAUUACAACGAUUUGUCUCAGACCAUAGUGUUUGUGUACAUCUUAUCAUACAGAAUAUGCAGCUUGUUUUUCGAAGAUUCGAUCGAUUGCUUCGUUCGCUUUAAAGUAAAGAAAAUGUUGUCCCUCGUUGUAUAUCUUCUUCGCACGGAAACUCCCAAUCUUUUCCAUGAGAAGGGUUGCUUGACGUUCGAGGAAGAUUUCGUGGAGGGAAACCUGGUUCUGCCAUUUUUAGAGGCAACGCCGUGUUUAGAGAAACUACAGCAGCAGUUAAAGCAGCACAUACGAAAUACAAAGAUUCCUAAAAAGGAAUCGACUACUCCUGUGUUUAUGAACGUUUUAAAUCGACCAAGAACCGGUUUGAAAGUGCCACCCGGUACACCUGAACCAGUCGAGGUAAAACAGACAGCAGCUUCGACAUUAAGAGAGUGCGCGCGUGUGAUCAACAUGGAAGAGAAAGAAAUAAAAAGAUUGAAAGCAUUAGCCGAAGGAGGUACCGAUCCAGCUUCGAUACUGAAAUUCCAAGAAGAAAGGCGUCAGCAACAAAAAGAGGAAGAAUUAUUAAAGAUACAAGAGAAACAUCUAUUGGCUUUGCUAAGCCGUGAGAAUGCUUUCAUUGCGAAACAAUCGCUGUUGAACGAUGUGAAAGCGCACGCAGAAAGCGUUCGAAAGGAGAAGCAAGAACUUUACGACAAGUUGGAGAAAUGGAGAGAGAAUCACAACAGGGAGAUGAUGGAAAUCGUUGUAAAGUGCCGCGAAGUCGAACAAGCCUCUCGUGAAGCUUUCAAUGCCAUGGUCGACGAGAAAAGGCAGAAAGCCGCAGAGGUGACCGAAGAAUCGCGGCAAUUGAAAGCCCAGUUGGUCAAGCAGAGAGAGGAAGAAACUGGCAGGAAAAUUAAAUUGAUCCAAAAAAUUAAGACGCUUCAAUCUUUACGGGCAUUGCCAUCGAUCAAGGAUUUCGAUCCAACAGAAUCAAGCGGUCUUGGUCUUCUUUGUGAAAUGUCCUUGGCGGAGGCGUGCUGUUUUUCCGGCUAAAUCACGGCAACGAUUACAGCCUGUUAGCUCACCAGAGAUCGACGCGUUGCGAAAGAAACUGGAAGAACAGAAAUCACUAAGGUCACAGAAAGGAACGUAAGAUGGUACCUCUAAUAAUAUGACACGAACUGAAAAAAGAACAAUUGUUAUAAGAUAGAAACUCAUCGUGUUUAUUAUCUUGCACAACUCAGCUUGAAAUAAACCAAUAUUACGAUGUCUUGUUACGAUACGAUAAUCAACGUUACAAAUCAGCCGAUUCCCUAUUUCCGUUAAGAUAAUAGAGGUGAUUGAAAUUAUUAUAACACUGAGUUAACAGAUCAAAAAUACGCUUUAUUUACAACGACUUGAAAAACUUAAGUGUUUACACGUGGUGCGUGUAGACGUGUUCUCGACGAAGAGAAGUUAAGAUGUCAACUGAUCGAAGAUAGACUAGUAACAGUUUCGGUAACAGUGAUGAUAAAGAAGAAAACUACUGAUGGGUGUGUCUAGACGGGACUAUCGGAUUCCUUGAUAACAAUCUUGAUUAGGAAAGAAAGGGCAACAGUCGUCGUUGCUAAUCUGACGAGAAAGAGAUUGGCGAGUAAGGAUGGGUCCUGGUCGUCCCCAAUCAAAGUCGCUCGUGGAUGGCAUUGUACAUUGGAAAAACUCCUUUUCUCGUGUUUCCUCGGAAUGAAUAACAAUCCUAAGGAACGCUUCAACUUAAAACAUACUUUUUAUCUUAUGCAUAAACGAUUAAUUUAUAAUAUGCUUGAUGCAAAGUAUUCUUUCAACAAUAUCAAUCGUAUGUAAGUCGUUCUGUUAGAAAAAUGUACCAAAUGUCCAGCUGACAUUGUAAAGUACAAAUUAAAUGAUAAAAAAGAAGUUGUAAGUAUUGUAAGGUACAAAUUGUAAAGUACAAAUUAAAUGAUAAAAAAGAAGUCGUCCCAGAUUCCUCGAGCCAAACCUUGUUGAUACGUUCUAUAAGUGAAGGCAAAAUAAAAAUAUCAUAAAAAGACACAUAUACCAUUGGAAAUAUCGAUAAAGAGAUAUAGCAGGCAAUCGAUAUAGGAAAUACAGAUUACGAUGCAACGUGAGAGUCUAUGAUACAGGAGAUGAAUAGAUUGAAAACAUUUACAUUUUUUCCAAGACUAGAAAUUGAAGAGAUACGGCAAGAGAUUGAAUCUGCUACUUUUUGAAGUUCUCGCUUAUUACUCGUUUGAAUUGAACCUACCUCGCUGAAGAUAACGGUACCCAGUCUCGCUGGUAACUUAUAAAAAUACAAAAAUAUUAAACAAAAGAGAGAAAUGUGAAAUGCUUUCUAUACACACAGAUAGAAGGAAUGUGAGCAAGCAAUAAGAACGUAUAGAUACGAGACGGAAAACAUAGAAAAUUGUCAUUACGUAAUCAAGAACAUACACGAAUUUCAAAUUCAAAAUACAAGUCAUUAACAAAGGUAUUAUUAAGAUUACAGGAGACCAAUCAUAGGCAGGCUAAUCAUAAACUACAACCGUAAGCGAGUUUCAGUGUGUGUAAAGCCCGUCGAGGGGGGGCUUGCACAUAAAGAAAAAGCCUGUCAUCGUAGGAUUUUUAUCUAGUCGCUGGACGAUCACCGUCAGAUGUAUCUGUUCCGUUGCAUCGAUCCAUAAAUCUAUAAAUAAAGUUGUUCGAUAAUAUUAUAAGAAAAAUUUUGUUAUUUGAGAAAACUACUUAUUUUCUUCUAAAAAG